GAUGAACGCUGGCGGCGUGCCUAAUACAUGCAAGUCGAGCGAACAGACGAGGAGCUUGCUCCUCUGACGUUAGCGGCGGACGGGUGAGUAACACGGGGAUAACCUCCCUAUAAGACGGGGUUAACUUCGGGAAACCGGAGCUAAUACCGGAUAAUUUAUUGAACCGCAUGGUUCAAUAGUGAAAGACGGUUUUCCUUUCCCUUAUAGAUGGAUCCGCGCCGCAUUAGCUAGUUGGUAAGGUAACGGCUUACCAAGGCAACGAUGCGUAGCCGACCUGAGAGGGUGAUCGGCCACACUGGAACUGAGACACGGUCCAGACUCCUACGGGAGGCAGCAGUAGGGAAUCUUCCGCAAUGGGCGAAAGCUUGACGGAGCAACGCCGCGUGAGUGAUGAAGGUCUUCGGAUCGUAAAACUCUGUUAUUAGGGAAGAACAAAUGUGUAAGUAACUAUGCACGUCUUGACGGUACCUAAUCAGAAAGCCACGGCUAACUACGUG
This 497-nucleotide ribosomal RNA is filed under the name uncultured bacterium. RNAcentral's name for it is "partial 16S ribosomal RNA". It matches the Rfam family "Bacterial small subunit ribosomal RNA", at positions 28 to 507 of the family's 1533-position model. The record is from RNAcentral.